This 73-nucleotide transfer RNA is filed under the name Bacteroidota bacterium. RNAcentral describes it as "tRNA-Ile". It matches the Rfam family "tRNA". Rfam says of the family: Transfer RNA (tRNA) molecules are approximately 80 nucleotides in length. Their secondary structure includes four short double-helical elements and three loops (D, anti-codon, and T loops). The record is from RNAcentral. Lineage: Bacteria; Pseudomonadati; Bacteroidota.
GGGCCUGUAGCUCAGCGGUUAGAGCGGCGGACUCAUAAUCCGUUGGUCGGGGGUUCAAAUCCCUCCGGGCCCA